Paramuricea clavata is the source of this 495-nucleotide non-coding RNA. NCBI's taxonomy places the organism in Eukaryota, Metazoa, Cnidaria, Anthozoa, Malacalcyonacea, Plexauridae. The record is from the annotation of a GenBank genome assembly.
UCACAAUUGUUCUAAAAGAUAAACAGCAUAUAGGCUAACUAAGUAAUUAGGUAAGCGUAAUACUUGACUUGAUCAUUUUCACAUGUAAGUUAGCACUAUAGCCUAAAUCGUAAUCGUAAGUUAGCGAUCUCAAACUGAGGCCGAUUCCUUCAAGGUCAUUAUAUAGUGUCCACACUUGCACGCACAAAAUCUUAAGUAAAUUAACCGAAUUAACUAGCGGAAAAAAUACCAGCCUCGUGCUAAGCAAGGAAUUAACUCGGUUGUAAAAUAUGAACCGAUCCGAGACCAGGAGGUCGAAUUUAGGUCGAUCUUGAAUCAGUUUUCGCUCGCUUUUGGUUGUCCUUAUUUGGCCUGCGACACGACUCAGAACUCGAUUUCGGAUCGAUCUACUAAAUUGCUAGUGUGAACUAUGUGAAUUUUUUUUACAGCAGAAUCCCUGCCAUUUCAAACAAUCAAGGGAAACAGGGGGUUCGCGUGACUGGAAUUGAAUCAGGG